Molecule: ribosomal RNA, 424 nt
Filed under: uncultured eukaryote
Lineage: Eukaryota
Description: SSU rRNA
Rfam family: Eukaryotic small subunit ribosomal RNA
Source: RNAcentral
CAAUAGCGUAUAUUAAAGUUGUUGCGGUUAAAAAGCUCGUAGUUGGAUUUCUGUUGAGAACGGCCGGUCCGCACUAUGUGCGUGUAUCUGGUUCGGUCUUGGCAUCCUCUUGGAGAACGUAACUGCGCUUGAUUGCGUGGUGCGGUAUUCAAGACUUUUACUUUGAGGAAAUUAGAGUGUUCACGGCAGGCUAACGCCUUGAAUAUAUUAGCAUGGAAUAAUAAUAUAGGAUCUUGGGUCUAUUUUGUUGGUUUCUAGAGCUAAGAUAAUGAUUAAUAGGGACAAUUGGGGGCGAUUCGUAUUAACACGUCAGAGGUGGAAUUCUUGGAUUGUGUUACGACGAACUACUGCGAAAGCAUUUGUCCAAGGAUGUUUUCAUUGAUCAAGAACGAAAGUGAGGGGAUCGAAGAUGAUCAGAUACCGU